GAGGGGGAGGGGGAGGGGGGAGAGAGAGAGAGAGAGAGGUUGAACUCAAACCUCACCUCACAAGAUCCCUGAAAGUGCAUCACAGCAAAGCAAAAGUUCUGCACUUUGGUGUGGGAGAAUCAUUGGUGAGGAAAUGACGAUUGCCUCUGGGUUGUAGAACAGAGGAAAUACACAUGUAUAUAUAUAUGUGUGUGUAGAUAGAGAGAGAGAGAGCGCACGCAGGGAAGGAAACACUUGCUCUUGAGCCGUUAUUGUCAUCAGACCACAUUGAGAGCGAGAGCUAGGUGAAUGGAAUGGAAAUAAAAUCGACUGAGGAUUAGACUCGCAAGAUGUCUAGCAGUUACUUUCUGGGAUCUGGGGAGCUGUUUCCCUUCAUCUGUCUGCUUCUUCUCCACUCAGCUGAGCCCAAUGUAUCAUCUGAACCUGUGAAGUGCAUUUGCUACAACAGCGAUUUCAUGGAGUGCACCUGGAGUCACAGUGAUGGGGAACCGAACUACACCAUGCACU
This is a long non-coding RNA of Callorhinchus milii (elephant shark), 507 nucleotides long. RefSeq lists it as uncharacterized. The transcript is spliced from 3 exons. Lineage: Eukaryota; Metazoa; Chordata; Chondrichthyes; Chimaeriformes; Callorhinchidae. The record is from RefSeq and is a predicted model, not a curated record.